This 69-nucleotide transfer RNA is filed under the name Choloepus hoffmanni (Hoffmann's two-fingered sloth). Its description in RNAcentral is "tRNA-Lys". Lineage: Eukaryota; Metazoa; Chordata; Mammalia; Pilosa; Megalonychidae. The record is from RNAcentral.
CAUUAGAGAAGCUGACCUAGCGUUAACCUUUUAAGUUAAAGCCUGGGAAUCCAAACUUCCCCUCAAUGA